Molecule: long non-coding RNA, 6980 nt
Filed under: Gallus gallus (chicken)
Lineage: Eukaryota; Metazoa; Chordata; Aves; Galliformes; Phasianidae
Source: RNAcentral
CAAACUUUGCCUGAUAAGAAGUAUGAAAUGAAAAUUUCUCUCUCAGUUUAUAAACAGCUCCACCUUAUACUCAGUGAACCCAGAGUAACUGAUCAAGUGUUCUUAGAAAUGUCUGGGCUGGGGCCCAGAUAUCCUAGGCCUCCUGACACAUCUAUCUGUCUUCUCUCACACUUCAACUCUAAAUUAGGUGCAUAGAGUCUCAAUAUGAUACAGAAGACUUAGGGAUCUUUGGGAAAGGUCCUCUGGAAGUUAAGCAGCAGCUACCUCUGCUAGCCUGGAGUGCAGCCCUGGGCUUUUUUUCUCCUUUCUGUUGAAGACUGUAUGCACUUAGAUGACUACAGGCAGCAUGCUCUUCUUUCUACUGUCUUUUCAUGAAGGAAGAAAAGGUGGAGAGGAACCAUACAUGUCUGUUGUCUUGUCCCACUCGGUGUGUUCUGAGAGAGGAUUAUCUUCUUCCUGAGGAAGCCAACAGAAGAAAACAUGACGUGAUUCGUUUCAACUCACAGCCAUUUCUGAAAGUCGUGGAGAUGGCAAAGGGCAGUCAUGUCUUUAAAGUCACAGAAGUGGGAGCUGGACUUCAGACUUUAGGAGGUAUUACUGUUCACUUGCAUUAUUCUUGACAUUUUAACAUGAACAUCUUGAUAACUAAUGUAUAUUAGAAUCUCUCUGCAUGUUUUGGGGAAUUAGUUAUGUGUAAAGCAAAUCGGGAUCUUGUUAGGGAAAUUGUUAUGUACAGCAAAACUCAAGGUUCUAAUUCAGUCACAGAUUUGUGUGUUUUCAGUGAAAGAAAAUGUAAAAUUACAAAAUCUAUAUUGUGGUUUUGAAAAAUAAUUGUAUUAGAUUUAGGGUUGAAAAAUAUUUAUUGUCAUCCAACUUUGCUUUUGGAAAUUACAGAAACCAUAAAUUUUCUUAUGUUUUUAUUUGUUCAUUUGUUUUUAUCUGAAAGCUUCAGAGGGCCUCAUCAAUGAGACAUAGCAGAUAACUUGCUUUUUCUCAGAGGUGGGGAGUCAAUACUUCUGAAAGACAAAACGUUUUCAAGACUGGCAGCUUUUGUUUUGUAAAUUUUAUAUUCAAUCAUUCAGGUAAGUUAAGGAGGAAAAAAAAAAGUUUGGUAAUGUGUCCUAUGGUCAGGAAUUUGGUCAAGGAAACAGGAGUUCAAGGCAGAGCAUUUUCAGUAGGGGGAGAGGACAGACAGCAAACAAAAGCAAAGUAGAUAAAAGACAAAACACCUUGUGCAGGAAUGAUGAAGGUUUCAAAUUUUUCUCCAAUUUUCAGGAAAGUACUGACAGUAGUUGAGGAGCAGAGGCUGGAAAUAGCAGGUGCAAAACUGAAAUCUAACUAGUGUGAGUACUCUUAGCAAAGGAUUUAGUCCCAGUUUGCUUUCACAACCUUCCUGGCAUGAUGAGACAGUCAGACUUUGCCUCACUAACGCAGAAUCUGUGCCUGGAGGGAUUAGAACCAUGUGUCCAUUUUGUAUUGCUGUUCAUUUCAUGUGUUGACAGGCUGCCAUAUGCCCUGAGGAUUUUUCUUCCAUCUCUUUUCUUCCCUAGUUGAAGAAUUUUCCUUCCCCACCUCUGUAUGAGAAAUCGCUUUUACUCACCAAAAUAAAUAACAUCUCAGUGAAUUAAGGAAAACGGAUAGCAAGUUUCUAAAGAGAAAGAUCAUUCAGCUCCAGGGUUGCAUUAAAUAUUACAUUUUUUUCUGAUUGUAAUGAAGCUACUCUUUGUGUCUUUGUUGGUGGAUCCCAUCUGAUCAGUUAUUCAUGUGAUUAAAAAGUUUGUAGUAUGUCUGUUUGCUUUGUAGCAAUAGCUUACACAUGACAAACCUUUUUGAGUGUCUAGUGCACUAGCACGCUGAUGCCUUUUAUUCUUGCCUCUUUGUAGAGCGUGGUCUAGUUAACUCCAAAGGGGUGAAAGAAAGUGGAAGAACAGGACAGAGAUGAAGAAGCAAUAGGAUGGUAAUGGAAAAAACUAGAGAAUAAGCUGUGAGUCUUAAUCUACAACGGGAACAGAUUUUGUUCCAGCUGUUAAGGAGACACAGAAAUCAGUGCAGCUGCUGAGCCAGUAAAGCAAAGGAUUUCUGAGGAAGAAAUUGAUUAUUCCUCUCAGCAGGACUAUUUGGAUGUUAAUUUGUCCUGUGAUGAAGUUAAUAAUACAGCUGAUGCCCAUGGAGGUAUAUGCUCUUCUAUUUCCUCACAACAGUUAGCUCAUUCCUAGGAAUUCAUAUCUGCAUUGGCCAAAAAGCAAAGUGUCUAAAACUCUAGGAGUUUACAGUGAUAAGGUCUUGAAUUACCAUCUUGAAGGAAUUUGGAUGGCUUGACAAAUGUGUUGUCUUUAGAUAGUUGUAGUAGUUUUGGUAGUUAAAUAGUAGUUAAAUACUACAAAUCCCUAAAUUAUAGAUGAAAAAUUAUUUCUUUGGCAAGGAAAGAACAUUUUCAUUGCUGACACCAUUUCAUUUUUCAGAAUUAACACUUUAGAAAGAGGUCAAGAAAUUUUAUUCCCACUAAGAGAGAUAAAGAAUUGCUUAGUUUAUUACUCUGACCUCUGUAUAAGUGAUAUCUUACGCUAAAGUUCAUCCUAAGUCAUAGAAACUAUAUGUAUUGUUAUGAGAAAGAAAAUGACAUAGAAAGCUUCAUUAGUUAUUAAGUAAAAUGAUCUUCAACACAGUAAACUGAAGAGAAAAUCUGAAUAUGUUGUCUGGAAUUUAUGCAUGCAGAAGAAAUUAUUUAUCACCCUUCGUCAAAACUAAGUCAGCAACUGCACUGGAAGGUGAAAUACAUUUAUUGCUGACAUGCAUUUCAGAUUGUAAUGCUUAACAAUACAUUUUCAGUGAAUCUUCUGAUGUCUGGGUUAUGGGAUUUCCUGCAGUCAAAGCAUGGUGUGGAGGUAGCUCAAAGAUGGCUGUAGGUUUGCCUGGAGCUGGACUGUCUUCACGCUCAGGGUUCCUGAGCUGACUGCCUUUAGCAAGUGAAAAUGUUCAUGUAGCUACAUAUAGCUUUGACUCUGAAACCAAACAACUGCCUACAGAUUCCUAAGUGACUUUAGCAAAUGUGAUUGGUAAAUUGGAACCAAACUGCAUUGCAUGCAAUUUAGUUGACAUUUUGUGGGUUUUUCUUUCUUUCUUUUAUUUAUUUAUUUAUUUUUGGACCGCUACUGGACACCUGGCUUUCUUUUCUUUGGGUAUGUUUUUCUUCUCUAAAGCCUUUUUAAUAUUUUAGGUUAGACCAGGAUGAAUGAUGUUUGUUUACCAUAUAAAGUCACAUCCUUUUCUUGCAAAAUAAGUCAUUUUCAAAUCCAAGAGUGAUUUACACAAAAUUUUAGCUUUAUUGGUCUCAAAUGGCAAGAUAUAAUUUCAGAAACAGGGAAGCCUUCAAGAAAGCAAGAAUUCUCUUAUGUAUCUAUCCCUAGUACUAAGUAGUCAGCUGGGGAAGAAAAGGAGGAAAUAAGCAGCUGAUAUUAAUCUAAGUAGAUGAUUUUGCCAAAACAACCCAUGAGACAUCAGCUACUCUUUCUUGAGAAAUGAAGCAAUCUUCCUCUGUGAUAUUUCAACAACUUUUUUGCAAAUGAAAUGCUUUUCAGAUUCCAGAGUAGUUCCUUGAAAAAAACACUGCCUAGCUCUCAGGCAAUAGAAAAUAGAGAGAUUGGGAAAGAUCGGUGCUUAUGUCGCUUCUUUUUAUGGAAAAACUCAGGGUCAUUCAUUCUAAACAUUUUUUCCAAGACAAACUCCAAAUGCAAAGAAACAGAGUCACAUGCACCAUCCUCCAACGUUCGGGAAUCUUGUUGGAGAAACAUGCUGGAGGGAAAGUGUUAAAAAUACAUAACUCAUGCAAAUAUAGUAAGUGAUCUAUCUUCUUUGUGCUUUAAGAUAAUAAAAAGCUUUUUAAUUAAAAAUAUGCAGUCAGCGUAUCAGUAUGAACUGGAGUAGCAUGGACAAUGAUAUAAGAAAGUUCAUUUGUUAAAGUGAGAAUAUGAAAACAGGAAUCAAAGAUCUCACUGCACAGAAAGGUUUUAUUUAGCUUUGCUGAGAGGCAUGAGGUGGUAAUAAAUGAGAGUUGGAUGAAUCUAAGAGGAAAGAGAAGAAAUUAUACUAUGGGAUGUGUUUGGUGGAAGUGAGUGGAUAAAGGCCUCCAGCAACAGCGGGGCCAGAGAAGACACUUUUUUGGAGGCCCUUUAGGGGAAAGAGAGGAGAUAUGUUAAAAGCAUUAAAAAACAAAAAGAACAAAACAAGAAAAAAAAUAGUGGAAAAGCUGUGCUAAGAGUCAUUGGCUAGAGACAACAAAAAGACCCUGAGCAGUAAUGUUCAAUCACCUAAGGAGGUGUAAACAGCAGGGGGAUUAACAAAAAAUAUGGGAAUCUUCACUGCUAGAGGAUGAAGAAAUGAGUAUACACCAAAACACGUGGUGCAAGGGCAUAUCAAGGGGAAAAUAAACGUGAUUCAGGCAUAAGUUCAGCUGAGAGUUUUUUGACAACAUCCUUUUAAAUCUCAUGCUUUUAAUGGAACCUGUCAGUAAGGACAAAUUGCUAUCAGAAAAGUAUUCUUUGGGUCAAAAUUAGAGAAACUUUAGAGAUUAGUCCCAAAGUAUCUUGCAUUAUUCUAGAGAAAAUGCUGACUUAAAAUGUAAGAGGAUAAGAGAAUAGGAAAUCAAUAUGAUAUUAGCUAUUCCAGUGUGUGAACCUCAUGUUUACUGUGAAAACUUGACGAAGUCUGCACAAUGUGUAAUUCUGAAAACACAGUAAUGUUAUGUGUGGGAACACUGUCUUGUUGCAUCCUCACAUGGAGUGCAGGAGUACUUCUCAUUUGUUGUGAGAGGAGCACAGACAACUUUCAGUGUCAAGUGUUCUUUAUUUCAUUUCUGUACAUUAAUUCACAUAGAACUGCAUACUGUUUACUAGAGGUUUCUGUCUUUAUUGUUUAUCCUACUAAACAAAUAAAUUUUAAAGUGUAUUAAUGUUAAUCUUAAUAUAAGUAAAUGUGUAACAGAAUAUAAGUUAGAGCUGCUUUUCAUAGCAUGGAUUUAUUUAUUUAUUUGUUUGAUACUCUGGGAAAAAUGAAAACAAAAACAUCUGCCCCAAAAAUGGAAUGCAAAACUUUAAUCACUCUUUAGUCUUUGAAAUGAGCAUUUAGUAUUUUUUAGUUUGUGUAAUAUCUACCAAGCAAUCCAUCUGACCCAGUGUAUCAUUCUUCAUAUAUCCAUGCUUCCUAUGUGUAGAUGCUGGGACUGAUGGAAGAAUUUAUUGUUAUUAUAAAGGAGAUAAAUUUUUGACAUCAAUAAAUCUCACUCCGAAUCCUAAAAUUUGAGCUCAACUUCACUAAUCAAAUUUAAUGGAAGUAAUUAAAAGGGGAGAGAAUUUAAUUAGGUUCUCUAACAAAGGAGCUGGAGUGCCUAGUCCCAGUAAGGUGCUUGCUGAGGCCUUAGUAGGUAUAAAAAACAUUUGUGUAUUUUGGUUUGAAAUCUUGGAAAAAUUGAGGAGACUACAUCUUAAGAAUAUAAAUUUGAUCAAAUCCUUGAUCGUCUUCCUUCUUUGCUCUUUAUCCUUUUCUCUUUUAUCUCCUAGUGCUUGAUGUAACUUCAAAAUCUUACUCAGAUAGGUGUAACGAAGGUAAAAACCUUAAUGCAGCUGUUAUUGACUUUUGAAUCUUCCCUUCCUUCCAUCCCCACUGCUGUUAGGCAUGUGCUCCACAACUCAAUCGUGGAAGGAAAAAAAAAUUACGGUAAACUCAAUGAUUUGAAAUAAACUAAAUUUGAAAUUGAAUUGGAUGUAUAGGACAGUCACAUACCUUUAAGUUGAAAUCUUAUAUUUCACAACAGAGGUACUCAUGCUAAGGGAAUAAAAAUAGAAAAUAUGCUGUCUAGAAUAACUUUUCUGCUGUGGAGAUGUGUACACACGCAAUGAUUAAACAACUCUUAUUUCUACAUAUCUUCAGAGUCAACAGCGGACUGUUGCUACCUCCUUGAAUUGAAAGAAGUCUGUAUCAGAAAUAUCAUGAUAGUAUCACAUACCAAGUAUGUAUUAUUUUGUUUUGUUUGCUUGGUUCAGUGUAGGAGUAUCCAAUACUUGGGGAAAAGAAAUAGCGUACAGUUGAAAUAAUUCUGCAAGUCAUUUUAACAUUCAUAUUGUCACAUGCUUAGAAACUUCAGCCUUAGAGAAGGCUGUUGUAUCCCAAGCACAAUAGUUUAUUAUUCUCAGUAUGUUCUGUAAAUAGCUUAAAAUAUAAAAUUCUUGUAAACUGAAAUAAUGGACUUACCCUUGGAAACGCAAUCUCACAAUGUUUUCAUCCUUCCUACUUUCCCCCUCUACCAGGUCUUUAAAAAAAACUAUUGUAGGUUUUGCUGAAUCAGUUUAUUUCAAUGUAAUAUGCAUCUGAAGCAAAAGAGAAAUAUUAGUUCAUUUUUGUGUUUUGUUUGUAGUCUAAAUUGUGAUUAUUCUGCUGAAAUUAGCAAUUGUUUACAAAUUUAUAGCAGGGCAUAUAAAAAGCUAGGUUUGGUUCCUUCAGUCAUGCAUUUAAUUUUUUUCAUUUCCCUUUCUUUAAUUGAUACUGCUGAUGGUCUUUUCUGUGGGUCAUUGUAGAAGAUAUGAUGCACAGGGUGUUUUUUCCCCCUUUUGAUAUUGAUUGCCAGUCACAAUUACUUCAUGGUCUUAUCAUCCCUUUAGGUGAUCUGCUGUGUUUUUGUUGUUUGGUUUUGUUUUUUUUUUCCCAUUAAAUUUUCAGUAUCUGAAAUGGUUGGAAACAAUGAUCUGGAGCAUUAAGUUAGCAUUUGAUUUUUCUGUUGCUCAUGUAGUGCACUGUAUCCUACUCUAGUAAUCAACUGUGCAAUUGUGUUUAGUGUGAGCCUAAAUUUCAAUUUAAAAAUUCUUCAAGAACUUUUAUUUCUGUUCAUUAUUUUAACAAGACCACUAUCUGUGGUCUUUCUGUAUUACUUUAUCUACCCUACUGCUUCCCAUCACUUCAUUUAACCAUUGGAUUUCCCAAGUUGUUGC